ACUAAUUGACACAGGCGAUAAUGAAAAGAAUAAAGAAGUUGCGUCUUCUGAAUGCAAUAAAUGAAAGCAAUGAAAAUCGAUUGUUUUUACAAAAAUUAUUAGUACUACCUCUACUUCCUCCUGAUGAUAUUGAAUUGGCAUUUUACUGGAUUCUCAGUACUACUGCACCAGUACUAUUAUUGCAGUUUAAGAAGCUAUUGAAGUAUUUUUAUAACCAGUGGAUAAGAAGAACAAGGCCAGAUGUAUAUUCUGUUUUUCUUAGAGUUUUUAGAACAAAUAACUUCUCCGAGGCUUAUAAUAAAGUAUUGGCUCUACAGUUUGGAACUCAUCCAAAUAUUUGGGAUUUUACAGAAAAAAUUGUUCUUUUACAAGAAUUAAAGCGUAUCGAGUAUGAAUCAUUACAAAACGGCAAUCGAAUAACGGAGCAAUCUCGAAGUCGUGAAACCUUAAAAAAUGAAAUUAUCCAUAGCGCUUGAGUUUUAUACCAAAACAACCAAUUUGGUAUUCCGCAAUUUAUUAACUGUGUGAGCUACUUCAUCAAUGAACUUAAAAGUGGAAGAGAUGUUGAUGUUCAACAAAUUCAUAAUUUCAUCGCUGAAAAUCCAAUUGAAAUUGAACUCGUUGUUGGUGAACAUAUCACAGACUGUACGAUGUGUUAACUAAGAAUGACGAAUCAUAUUUUUCAGCCAUGCAACCAUUGGUUUGGAUGCUUUCGGUGUGUGCAAAACAUGCGAGUCUUUCUUGCUCGCGUGCAAGCUAAUUUGCGUUGCCCAACUUGCGACAAUGUUAUAGCAUCAUUUGAACAGAUUUUUUGAAUAUUUUCUGACAUUAAUGAUUUAUUUAAAUACA
Molecule: long non-coding RNA, 849 nt
Filed under: Cotesia glomerata
Lineage: Eukaryota; Metazoa; Arthropoda; Insecta; Hymenoptera; Braconidae
Description: uncharacterized LOC123259231, transcript variant X1
Source: RNAcentral